AUCCUUUUAGUAUAUAAGUAUAUUUAACUUCCAAUUAAAAGGUUCAAAAUAUUGAAAAGGAUA
This 63-nucleotide transfer RNA is filed under the name Rhynocoris altaicus. RNAcentral describes it as "tRNA-Gly". Lineage: Eukaryota; Metazoa; Arthropoda; Insecta; Hemiptera; Reduviidae. The record is from RNAcentral. RNAcentral also lists the same sequence under 2 other names.